ACGUGAGUAACCUGCCCUUGACUCUGGGAUAAGCCUGGGAAACUGGGUCUAAUACCGGAUACGACCGCUCCACGCAUGUGGUGGUGGUGGAAAGCUUUUGCGGUUUUGGAUGGACUCGCGGCCUAUCAGCUUGUUGGUGGGGUAAUGGCCUACCAAGGCGACGACGGGUAGCCGGCCUGAGAGGGUGACCGGCCACACUGGGACUGAGACACGGCCCAGACUCCUACGGGAGGCAGCAGUGGGGAAUAUUGCACAAUGGGCGCAAGCCUGAUGCAGCGACGCCGCGUGAGGGAUGACGGCCUUCGGGUUGUAAACCUCUUUCAGUAGGGAAGAAGCGAAAGUGACGGUACCUGCAGAAGAAGCGCCGGCUAACUACGUGCCAGCAGCCGCGGUAAUACGUAGGGCGCAAGCGUUAUCCGGAAUUAUUGGGCGUAAAGAGCUCGUAGGCGGUUUGUCGCGUCUGCUGUGAAAGACCGGGGCUCAACUCCGGUUCUGCAGUGGGUACGGGCAGACUAGAGUGAUGUAGGGGAGACUGGAAUUCCUGGUGUAGCGGUGAAAUGCGCAGAUAUCAGGAGGAACACCGAUGGCGAAGGCAGGUCUCUGGGCAUUAACUGACGCUGAGGAGCGAAAGCAUGGGGAGCGAACAGGAUUAGAUACCCUGGUAGUCCAUGCCGUAAACGUUGGGCACUAGGUGUGGGGGACAUUCCACGUUUUCCGCGCCGUAGCUAACGCAUUAAGUGCCCCGCCUGGGGAGUACGGCCGCAAGGCUAAAACUCAAAGGAAUUGACGGGGGCCCGCACAAGCGGCGGAGCAUGCGGAUUAAUUCGAUGCAACGCGAAGAACCUUACCAAGGCUUGACAUGAACCGGUAACGCCUGGAAACAGGUGCCCCGCUUGCGGUCGGUUUACAGGUGGUGCAUGGUUGUCGUCAGCUCGUGUCGUGAGAUGUUGGGUUAAGUCCCGCAACGAGCGCAACCCUCGUUCUAUGUUGCCAGCGCGUGAUGGCGGGGACUCAUAGGAGACUGCCGGGGUCAACUCGGAGGAAGGUGGGGACGACGUCAAAUCAUCAUGCCCCUUAUGUCUUGGGCUUCACGCAUGCUACAAUGGCCGGUACAAAGGGUUGCGAUACUGUGAGGUGGAGCUAAUCCCAAAAAGCCGGUCUCAGUUCGGAUUGGGGUCUGCAACUCGACCCCAUGAAGUCGGAGUCGCUAGUAAUCGCAGAUCAGCAACGCUGCGGUGAAUACGUUCCCGGGCCUUGUACACACCGC
RNAcentral lists this ribosomal RNA (1267 nucleotides) under Arthrobacter sp. B3-8. RNAcentral's name for it is "bacterial SSU rRNA". It matches the Rfam family "Bacterial small subunit ribosomal RNA", at positions 115 to 1393 of the family's 1533-position model. The record is from RNAcentral. Lineage: Bacteria; Bacillati; Actinomycetota; Actinomycetes; Micrococcales; Micrococcaceae.